UGUAGGAGGUAUAAGAACAUAAAAUGAAAUGAAAACAAAACUUAAUUAAAAACCAUCCAUAUAGGAGGUAAUCAAAACAUAUUUAUAUUAUACAUAAGGAGAAAUAUCUUACAAUGGACAAGGGUAGGAAAGCUUGAAAGCUUGAAGGGCUUACAUGAUGAGAGAGAAAGAAGAGAGAAGGGAGAGCAUAAGCUUGGGAGAG
Molecule: long non-coding RNA, 202 nt
Filed under: Vitis vinifera (wine grape)
Lineage: Eukaryota; Viridiplantae; Streptophyta; Magnoliopsida; Vitales; Vitaceae
Description: long non-coding RNA (VVIN_LNC005331)
Source: RNAcentral